RNAcentral lists this ribosomal RNA (343 nucleotides) under Scolopendra canidens. RNAcentral's name for it is "partial small subunit ribosomal RNA". It matches the Rfam family "Microsporidia small subunit ribosomal RNA", at positions 751 to 1198 of the family's 1311-position model. The record is from RNAcentral. Lineage: Eukaryota; Metazoa; Arthropoda; Chilopoda; Scolopendromorpha; Scolopendridae.
UCUGUAGUAGUACUAGUGAUCUAUAAAUUAAAGAAAUUUGGCGGUGUAUGAGACAAAUUAGAGGAACUUGUAUUUUAAUCGAUAAUCCCCGAAAAUCUUACCUACGAAUGUAUUUCAGUUUGUAUACCGUUGUCUUCAGAUUAUAUGUGUGAAAUAUCUUCUUAAUAAUCGAUUUAUUAAAAAGUCAAAUCAAGGUGCAGCAUAUACGUAGGUUAAUAUGAGUUACAAUGAGAGAAUAUUAUACGGAGUUAUAUUUGAAUAAAUAUGAUGAAGGUGGAUUUAAUUGUAAGUUUUAGUUAUUAUUUAAGAUUGAAUUUGCUCUGAUGCAUGCACACAUCGCCCG